This 492-nucleotide ribosomal RNA is filed under the name uncultured bacterium. RNAcentral describes it as "partial 16S ribosomal RNA". It matches the Rfam family "Bacterial small subunit ribosomal RNA", at positions 29 to 507 of the family's 1533-position model. The record is from RNAcentral.
AGUGAACGCUGGCGGUAGGCCUAACACAUGCAAGUCGAACGGCAGCACAGUAAUAGCUUGCUCUUACGGGUGGCGACUGGCGGACGAGAGGGGAAUACAUCGGAAUCUACUUUUUCGUGGGGGCUAACGAAGGGAAACUUACGCUAAUACCGCAUACGACCUACGGGUGAAAGCAUGGGAACUUUUGACCUUGCGCGAUUGAAUGAGCCGAUGUCGGAUUAGUUGGUUGGCGGGGUAAAGGCCAACCAAGGCGACGAUCCGUAGCUGGUCUGAGAGGAUGAUCAGCGACACUGGAGCUGAAACACGGUCCAGGCUACUAAGGGACGGAGCAGAGGGGAAUAGUGGACAGUGGGCGGAAACCUGGUCCAGUCAGACCGAGUGUGUGGAGGAGGCCUUCGGGUUGUGAAGACCUUUUUUUGGGUAAGAAAAGCAGCAGGUUAAUACCCCGCUGUUCUGACGGUACCCAAAGAAUAAGCACCGGCUAACUUCGUG